GAUGAACGCUAGCGGCAGGCCUAAUACAUGCAAGUCUAACGCUCAGUAGCAAUACUGGGAGUGGCGCACGGGUGCGUAACGCGUACACAAUCUACCUCUAAGCGGGGGACACCUCCUGGAAACGGGGAUUAAUACCGCAUAAUAUGCCGAAGUCGCAUGACUUUGGUAUUAAAGCAGCAAUGCACUUAGAGAUGAGUGUGCGUCCCAUUAGGUAGUUGGUGAGGUAACGGCUCACCAAGCCUAUGAUGGGUAGCCGGUCUGAGAGGAUGGUCGGCCACACGGGCACUGAGACACGGGCCCGACUCCUACGGGAGGCAGCAGUAAGGAAUAUGGUCAAUGGUGGAAACACUGAACCAGCCAUGCCGCGUGGAGGAAUAAGGU
This 381-nucleotide ribosomal RNA is filed under the name uncultured bacterium. Its description in RNAcentral is "bacterial SSU rRNA". It matches the Rfam family "Bacterial small subunit ribosomal RNA", at positions 28 to 415 of the family's 1533-position model. The record is from RNAcentral.